AACGAACGCUGGCGGCAUGCCUAACACAUGCAAGUCGAACGAGACCUUCGGGUCUAGUGGCGCACGGGUGCGUAACGCGUGGGAACCUGCCCUUAGGUUCGGAAUAACUCCCCGAAAGGGGUGCUAAUACCGGAUAAUGUCUUCGGACCAAAGAUUUAUCGCCUUUGGAUGGGCCCGCGUUGGAUUAGCUAGUUGGUAGGGUAAAAGCCUACCAAGGCGACGAUCCAUAGCUGGUCUGAGAGGAUGAUCAGCCACACUGGGACUGAGACACGGCCCAGACUCCUACGGGGGGCAGCAGGGGGGAAUAUUGGACAGGGGGCGAAAGCCUGAUCCAGCAAUGCCGGGGGAGUGAUGAAGGCCUUAGGGUUGUAAAGCUUUUUUCCCCGGGAUGAUAAUGACAGUACCGGGAAAAUAAGCCCCGGCUAACCCCGU
This 432-nucleotide ribosomal RNA is filed under the name uncultured bacterium. RNAcentral's name for it is "partial 16S ribosomal RNA". It matches the Rfam family "Bacterial small subunit ribosomal RNA", at positions 29 to 506 of the family's 1533-position model. The record is from RNAcentral.